RNAcentral lists this long non-coding RNA (463 nucleotides) under Polistes fuscatus (common paper wasp). Its description in RNAcentral is "uncharacterized LOC122514268". The record is from RNAcentral. Lineage: Eukaryota; Metazoa; Arthropoda; Insecta; Hymenoptera; Vespidae.
UAGGUAAAAGUGCGAUUUCGAAACGUAUUUGGAGCUACGUACGAAUUCAUAUAAAUUAUUCCACAGUAAAAUUGAAUGGUACAUCUUGAUAAUCGGAUAUUUGUAAAUAUUCAAUUAUUUUAUUAUUUUUUUUUUUUAGAAAAUGCAAAAGAACGAUUUAAAAGUUGGAUCAAAAUAAUAGGAGAAAUAGAUGUUUAAGUUCACUGAAAAUUUCAAACGAGCAUAGAGAGCAUCAUUGUAAUUAUAAAUUGAUUUCAACAUUCUUUAAACCGAUCUAUGAAACAUUGAUCCACUUGUAUCCAUCAUUCAUUGGAUAUAAAAUAUCUUUCGCAUUGAGCUCCAUUGACGAUAGAUUAUUAAAGGGGGCAGGCACUCGGUAGACAUAUUUAGAGGAUUUUCAUAGCCAAAAGGAAUACGACAGGUAUAUAAACGCAUAAUAAAUGACAAUACAUAGACUUCAAAA